Molecule: non-coding RNA, 249 nt
Filed under: Subdoligranulum sp.
Lineage: Bacteria; Bacillati; Bacillota; Clostridia; Eubacteriales; Oscillospiraceae
Description: T-box sequence
Rfam family: T-box leader
About the family: Uncharged tRNA acts as the effector for transcription antitermination of genes in the T-box leader family.
Source: RNAcentral
UCAAAUGUGUUGAUAAGGAAAAGUAGCGAGAGGAAAGCUUACAGAGAGCCGUGGGUUGAUGGGACACGGCAACGGAACUUCCGCGAAAAUCCCCUUAGAACAGUCCGGGUGAAGAGCGCGCCCUACGCUUGCGUAAGCCGGAACGUGUAACAUACGUUAUCAUGUUUAUCAUUGACGGAUGAUAAUUGAGCGGCCGUUUUCGGACGGCAAAUAGAGUGGUACCGCAGAGUUGAAACCUUUGUCUCUAAU